RNAcentral lists this ribosomal RNA (431 nucleotides) under uncultured bacterium. RNAcentral describes it as "bacterial SSU rRNA". It matches the Rfam family "Bacterial small subunit ribosomal RNA", at positions 50 to 474 of the family's 1533-position model. The record is from RNAcentral.
UACACAUGCAAGUCGAACGGCAGCACGGGUGCUUGCACCUGGUGGCGAGUGGCGAACGGGUGAGUAAUACAUCGGAACAUGUCCUGUAGUGGGGGAUAGCCCGGCGAAAGCCGGGUUAAUACCGCAUACGAUCUACGGAUGAAAGCGGGGGACCUUCGGGCCUCGCGCUAUAGGGUUGGCCGAUGGCUGAUUAGCUAGUUGGUGGGGUAAAGGCCUACCAAGGCGACGAUCAGUAGCUGGUCUGAGAGGACGACCAGCCACACUGGGACUGAGACACGGCCCAGACUCCUACGGGAGGCAGCAGUGGGGAAUUUUGGACAAUGGGCGAAAGCCUGAUCCAGCAAUGCCGCGUGUGUGAAGAAGGCCUUCGGGUUGUAAAGCACUUUUGUCCGGAAAGAAAUCCUUGGCUCUAAUACAGUCGGGGGAUGACG